AACGAACGCUGGCGGCAUGCCUAACACAUGCAAGUCGAACGAGACCUUCGGGUUUAGUGGCGCACGGGUGCGUAACGCGUGGGAACCUGCCCUUAGGUUCGGAAUAACUCCCCGAAAGGGGUGCUAAUACCGGAUAAUGUCUUCGGACCAAAGAUUUAUCGCCUUUGGAUGGGCCCGCGUUGGAUUAGCUAGUUGGUAGGGUAAAAUCCUACAAAGGCGACGAUCGAUAGCUGGUCUGAGAGGAUGAGCAGCCACACUGGGACUGAGACACGGCCCAGACUCCUACGGGAGGCAGCAGUGGGGAAUAUUGGACAAUGGGCGAAAGCCUGAUCCAGCAAGGACGCGUGAGUGAUGAAGGCCUUAGGGUUGUAAAGCUCUUUUACCCGGGAUGAUAAUGACAUUACCGGGAGAAUAAGCUCCGGCUAACUCCGUG
Molecule: ribosomal RNA, 433 nt
Filed under: uncultured bacterium
Lineage: Bacteria
Description: partial 16S ribosomal RNA
Rfam family: Bacterial small subunit ribosomal RNA
Source: RNAcentral